Molecule: long non-coding RNA, 288 nt
Organism: Daphnia pulicaria
Lineage: Eukaryota; Metazoa; Arthropoda; Branchiopoda; Diplostraca; Daphniidae
Exons: 3
Source: RefSeq, a predicted model, not a curated record
AUGGGAUACAUGGUAUCAGUGACGCUGUCUAUAAAUCCCACUAUGUAACCAACAAACAAAAAUCAGAAAUUACCACCAGAAAUGCAUGCGGAGUGUAUAUUCCGCCCUUCCAUCGUGGCUCUACUAUACUUCCAUCCCUUCGAUUCGACACCGAGUCGAUUAAAUAUAGUUUCUGGAGCAACCAUCGCCGAACAUGAAGCAGGUUUCUUGUUGAUGUCCUCCUCAGUUGUGAUCAUCUCCUGGACGAUUUCGGGACUGGUGGUGGGCGGAUUAUUAGCCAGCGCUUUC